RNAcentral lists this long non-coding RNA (293 nucleotides) under Vigna radiata. RNAcentral's name for it is "long non-coding RNA (VRAD_LNC007488)". The record is from RNAcentral. Lineage: Eukaryota; Viridiplantae; Streptophyta; Magnoliopsida; Fabales; Fabaceae.
AAUUAAAAAAAUAAAAAAAUAAACCCUCAAUCCCUUAUCCACCCCUCUCAUUCAUCUCAACCUUUCUCUUUCAUCUCUUUCACUCCAACAUUUUCUCUGUCAUCCCUACUCUAACCCUAAUUGAAAAAAAUCAAAAAUGCUUGUCUUAUUUUAAUAAUUUUCAUUCUCAAAAUUAAAAAAAAAAAAAAACCCCAAACCCUUACUCACCUCCUUCAUUCCUCUCAACCUUUUCUCCUUCAUCUCUCUCACUCAACACAUUUCCUCUGUUAUCUCUGCACUAGCUCUAACUAAAA